AUUGAACGCUGGCGGCAGGCCUAACACAUGCAAGUCGAGCGGAUGAAGGGAGCUUGCUCCUGGAUUCAGCGGCGGACGGGUGAGUAAUGCCUAGGAAUCUGCCUGGUAGUGGGGGAUAACGUCCGGAAACGGGCGCUAAUACCGCAUACGUCCUGAGGGAGAAAGUGGGGGAUCUUCGGACCUCACGCUAUCAGAUGAGCCUAGGUCGGAUUAGCUAGUUGGUGGGGUAAAGGCCUACCAAGCGACGAUCCGUAACUGGUCUGAGAGGAUGAUCAGUCACACUGGAAAGAAGACACGUCCAGGCCCCCAAGGGGGGCAGGCAGGGGGAAUUUUUGAAGAAGGGGAAAAGCCUUUACCCACCCUUGCGGUGGGUGGAAAAAAGUUUUGGGAAUUUAAAGCCAUUUUAAGUGGGGAGAAAGGAAAGUAAUUUAAACCCUUCUUUUUUGCACUUGCCCAAAAAAAAAAGCCCCGGCAAACUUCUUC
This 483-nucleotide ribosomal RNA is filed under the name uncultured bacterium. Its description in RNAcentral is "partial 16S ribosomal RNA". It matches the Rfam family "Bacterial small subunit ribosomal RNA", at positions 30 to 507 of the family's 1533-position model. The record is from RNAcentral.